CUCCAUCUCUUGACUUCAGCUGGCGACCGGUCUCCCUGGCUAAUUUGACAGACUACAAGCAAUUCAAGAGGGAAACUUCUGUCUUUGCAGAAACAUGUGGAGUUUGGCAGGAAUGCACAUCCAAGCUCCCUUUGCCACAAAGGGGCUUUGAUGAAACAUGGCUGAUCCGGGAUCCCCUACUGGGGGUCUGCAAAGACAAUUCCAUUGCCUUUAUGAAUUCUAAGAAAAGUGCGUGGACCAAGGCAGCUGAGAGACUGGCCCCUUUCCAAAUACAAGGAGAGAAACCAGUAUGGAAGAAGAAAACGCAAAUAAGUAUUAGCAGAUGUAAGGGAGUUGGAGUUUUUGUUUUCUGUACAGUUUUAAGUGUAUACAUAAGUUCCUCACACCUGCAGAUUGAGUUUAUUAAGUUUUGUUCUCUGCUUCCUAAAGCAGAAUAAACCCUAUGUAGACUGUGAGCCCAUCUGGGAAGGAUGUUUUUAACUCUGUAAAGGUGCUCUCUCACCCCAAACCCACAAGUCAAACCUCCCCUCCUGCUCAUGUCUCCCUGUUAUUUCGCAACCAGGGAGCUGCCAGCAGGUAGGAGUAGGGGAGAUUAUGUGGGGUGGGGACCAGCUCAGAAAUGACCAGCAACAGAUGAAGACAAAAACGAGAGCCGGUCGUGGCCCUGCAGCUGCACUUUAUGGACAGUGGACUCAUCCAUAAAGUAGAAAGCACUACUAAACGCUCGUGUCCAAGUGUAGUGUUUCCUACUUUAUGGAUGAGUGUACUGUGAGCAACGGAAGCAACAAGGAGGAACGGAGCCUGGCACAGGGCUGGGGAGAGGGCGGAGAAACAGCAGAAGGUGGAAGUGUCACUGGAGGGGGGGUGUCAUGGUUGAAUACACAUGGCUUGUCACAUUGUCACUCAAAUACAGGUGUAUCCCCUUCCUUCCCCAAAAAUCUUGUACAUAACAUUUUCAACUAUAAUGCUUGUAGUGUGUAACUCUGAACUCAAGUCAAAUGGAAGGGUGGGCAGCAAGACUUGAAAGAAAGGGCAUGUUGUAUUGGCACCAAAUAAGGAUCUUCAAAAGUUAUGCUGCCAUUUCCUCACGACUUUGCUACAUUUGCGCACAAUACCCUCCAACCUGCCACAUAUCCAUACUUGAAUACUUUCAGAAAGUAGGAGUGGGAAUUGGUUAUGAUCCCAAUAUCAGAAUCCCUUAACGCUUGCUUCUCUGGUCAGAUGUGCAUGGAAGGUGCUCACAGACCCUCUCCAUGACCAACAUACCCUGAAUGAGCUUUGUAGUUUGGAUAACUGUGAGAACGGGCUUCUUGGGAGAGCAGGUUACUACCACUGCUUGAGGGUACAGUAGCUGUAGUUGUGGGCCUGAAAAGGGGAGCAGCUACUACUUGGUGAAUUGAAUGCUCACUUACAUCAUUAAAAUAAACUGUCCAAUUUUAA
Long non-coding RNA from Rhineura floridana, 1440 nucleotides. RefSeq lists it as uncharacterized. Lineage: Eukaryota; Metazoa; Chordata; Lepidosauria; Squamata; Rhineuridae. The record is from RefSeq and is a predicted model, not a curated record. The transcript has 3 exons.